This 497-nucleotide ribosomal RNA is filed under the name uncultured bacterium. Its description in RNAcentral is "partial 16S ribosomal RNA". It matches the Rfam family "Bacterial small subunit ribosomal RNA", at positions 28 to 507 of the family's 1533-position model. The record is from RNAcentral.
GAUGAACGCUGGCGGCGUGCCUAAUACAUGCAAGUCGAGCGAACAGACGAGGAGCUUGCUCCUCUGACGUUAGCGGCGGACGGGUGAGUAACACGUGGAUAACCUACCUAUAAGACUGGGAUAACUUCGGGAAACCGGAGCUAAUACCGGAUAAUAUAUUGAACCGCAUGGUUCAAUAGUGAAAGACGGUUUUGCUGUCACUUAUAGAUGGAUCCGCGCCGCAUUAGCUAGUUGGUAAGGUAACGGCUUACCAAGGCAACGAUGCGUAGCCGGCCUGAGAGGGUGAUCGGCCACACUGGAACUGAGACACGGUCCAGACGCCUAAGGGAGGCAGCAGUAGGGAAUCUUCCGCAAUGGGCGAAAGCUUGACGGAGCAACGCCGCGUGAGUGAUGAAGGUCUUCGGAUCGUAAAACUCUGUUAUUAGGGAAGAACAAAUGUGUAAGUAACUAUGCACGUCUUGACGGUACCUAAUCAGAAAGCCACGGCUAACUACGUG